Molecule: ribosomal RNA, 391 nt
Filed under: uncultured bacterium
Lineage: Bacteria
Description: bacterial SSU rRNA
Rfam family: Bacterial small subunit ribosomal RNA
Source: RNAcentral
GAUGAACGCUAGCGGCAGGCCUAACACAUGCAAGUCGAGGGGCAGCACGUCUUCGGAUGGUGGCGACCGGCGCACGGGUGCGUAACGCGUAUGCAACCUACCUCUUACAGUGGGAUAGCCCAGAGAAAUUUGGAUUAAUACCGCAUAGUAUACAGAUUCAGCAUUGGGACUGUAUUAAACAUUUAUGGGUAAGAGAUGGGCAUGCGUUCUAUUAGUUAGUUGGAGUGGUAACGGCACCCCAAGACAGCGAUAGAUAGGGGCCCUGAGAGGGGGAUCCCCCGACACUGGUACUGAGACACGGACCAGACUCCUACGGGAGGCAGCAGUGAGGAAUAUUGGACAAUGGGCGAGAGCCUGAUCCAGCCAUGCCGCGUGCAGGAAGACGGCCCUA